CCUACGGGUGGCAGCAGUGGGGAAUAUUGGGCAAUGGGCGCAAGCCUGACCCAGCAACGCCGCGUGAAGGAAGAAGGCUCUCGGGUUGUAAACUUCUUUUAUCAAGGACGAAACAAAUGACGGUACUUGAUGAAUAAGCCACGGCUAACUACGUGCCAGCAGCCGCGGUAAUACGUAGGUGGCAAGCGUUAUCCGGAUUUACUGGGUGUAAAGGGCGUGUAGGCGGGACUGCAAGUCAGAUGUGAAAACCAUGGGCUCAACCCAUGACCUGCAUUUGAAACUGUUGUUCUUGAGUGUGGGAGAGGCAGGCGGAAUUCGGGGUGUAGCGGUAAAAUGCGUAGAGAUACGGAGGAACACUAGUGGCGAAGGCGGCCUGCUAGACAUUAACUGACGCUGAGGCGCGAAAGCGUGGGGAGCAAACAGGAUUAGAUACCCGUGUAGUC
Molecule: ribosomal RNA, 443 nt
Filed under: uncultured bacterium
Lineage: Bacteria
Description: partial 16S ribosomal RNA
Rfam family: Bacterial small subunit ribosomal RNA
Source: RNAcentral